This 404-nucleotide ribosomal RNA is filed under the name uncultured bacterium. RNAcentral's name for it is "partial 16S ribosomal RNA". It matches the Rfam family "Bacterial small subunit ribosomal RNA", at positions 338 to 734 of the family's 1533-position model. The record is from RNAcentral.
CCUACGGGUGGCAGCAGUGGGGAAUAUUGCACAAUGGGCGCAAGCCUGAUGCAGCCACGCCGCGUGAAUGAAGACGGCUUUCGGGUUGUAAAGUACUUUCAGUGGGGAGGAAGGAUCUGUGGUUCAUAACCGCAGCCCUCGACGUUCUCCGCAGCAGCAGCACCGGCUAACCCCGUGUCAGCAGCCGUGGCAAUACGGACGGGGUAAGCGUUAAGCGGACUUACUGGGCGUAAAGGGCACGCAGGCGGGCAGUCAAGUCAGAUGUGACACCCCCGGGCUCAACCUGGAGACUGCAGCUGAUACUGGCAGGCUUGAGUGAAGUAGAGGGGGGUAGAAUUCCGGGUGUAGCGGUGAAAUGCGUAGAGAUCUGGAGGAAUACCGGUGGCGAAGGCGGCCAACUGGAC